This 817-nucleotide small RNA is filed under the name uncultured Tetracladium. RNAcentral's name for it is "eukaryotic LSU rRNA". The stretch from base 534 to 817 matches the Rfam family "Eukaryotic large subunit ribosomal RNA", at positions 1 to 281 of the family's 3401-position model. The record is from RNAcentral. Lineage: Eukaryota; Fungi; Ascomycota.
CUUGGUCAUUUAGAGGAAGUAAAAGUCGUAACAAGGUUUCCGUAGGUGAACCUGCGGAAGGAUCAUUACCGAGUUCAUGCCCUCACGGGUAGAUCUCCCACCCUCUGUAUACCAUACCUUUGUUGCUUUGGCGGGCCGCCUAGCUACUGGCUUCGGCUGGUAAGUGCCCGCCAGAGGACCCAAAACCCUGAAUAUUAGUGUCGUCUGAGUAAAAUUUUAAUAUUUAAAACUUUCAACAACGGAUCUCUUGGCUCUGGCAUCGAUGAAGAACGCAGCGAAAUGCGAUAAGUAAUGUGAAUUGCAGAAUUCAGUGAAUCAUCGAAUCUUUGAACGCACAUUGCGCCCCUUGGUAUUCCGAGGGGCAUGCCUAUUCGAGCGUCAUUAUCACCCCUCAAGCUUCGGCUUGGUGUUGAGGCCUGCUGUAAAGGCACCCUCUAAAAUCAGUGGCAGUGCUGUCAGGCUCUAAGCGUAGUAAUUUCAUCGCUAUAGGGUCCUGGUGGAUACUCGUCAAAACCCCCCCAUUUUUUAAUGAUUGACCUCGGAUUAGGUAGGGAUACCCGCUGAACUUAAGCAUAUCAAUAAGCGGAGGAAAAGAAACCAACAGGGAUUGCCUCAGUAACGGCGAGUGAAGCGGCAAAAGCUCAAAUUUGAAAUCUGGCUCUUUUAGGGUCCGAGUUGUAAUUUGUAGAAGAUGUUUCGGGUGUGGCUCCGGUUUAAGUUCUUUGGAAUAUUACAUCAUAGAGGGUGAGAAUCCCGUAUGUGACCGGCAGCCUUCGCCUAUGUGAAACUCUUUCGACGAGUCGAGUUGUUUGGGAAU